Molecule: long non-coding RNA, 451 nt
Organism: Heterocephalus glaber (naked mole-rat)
Lineage: Eukaryota; Metazoa; Chordata; Mammalia; Rodentia; Bathyergidae
Source: Ensembl
GCGUGGGCUGUGUGCAUGCAUGGAGGAAUAAUGUGAGAAGAAUACGUGGUGUGGCCUAAGCAAUAGCUUUAUCCUGGAACCCCCAAAGAAAGUAUAGGAAGUACCAGCAGGAAGAGCAGAGAGGGAAGUUCUUUGUAACCCCAGCAGGAGGAGGACAUCCGUCUCCCAGUAUUUCCAACAAAAAUCUCCUGGAUUGAAUCUCAUUGGCUCAGGAGCCACCAGAAGCCGGAAGAGGCAGAGACGUCUCUUCCUCGAGAGCCCUGGGUGGUACCACAUCUCUGCGGCCACCUCGAUUCCUCUAGAGCCGUGAGAGGAUUUCUGUUGGAGGUCACCUAGCUUGUGGCAAUUUGUUGCUGCAGCCCCAGGAAAAUAAUCCAUCUGCCAGCCAAAAUUUAUGAUAAAACAGAAAUUUUAGAAGUUCUGUAGUCCUGGCUCAGACUGCCAUUCAAGC